GAUGAAGCAGCCGGGGUGCUAUACAUGCAGUCGACGCGUUGGCCCAAUUGAUUGAUGGUGCUUGCACCUGAUUGAUUUUGGUCGCCAACGAGUGGCGGACGGGUGAGUAACACGUAGGUAACCUGCCCAGAAGCGGGGGACAACAUUUGGAAACAGAUGCUAAUACCGCAUAACAACGUUGUUCGCAUGAACAACGCUUAAAAGAUGGCUUCUCGCUAUCACUUCUGGAUGGACCUGCGGUGCAUUAGCUUGUUGGUGGGGUAAUGGCCUACCAAGGCGAUGAUGCAUAGCCGAGUUGAGAGACUGAUCGGCCACAAUGGGACUGAGACACGGCCCAUACUCCUACGGGAGGCAGCAGUAGGGAAUCUUCCACAAUGGGCGCAAGCCUGAUGGAGCAACACCGCGUGAGUGAAGAAGGGUUUCGGCUCGUAAAGCUCUGUUGUUAAAGAAGAACACGUAUGAGAGUAACUGUUCAUACGUUGACGGUAUUUAACCAGAAAGUCACGGCUAACUACGUGCCAGCAGCCGCGGUAAUACGUAGGUGGCAAGCGUUAUCCGGAUUUAUUGGGCGUAAAGAGAGUGCAGGCGGUUUUCUAAGUCUGAUGUGAAAGCCUUCGGCUUAACCGGAGAAGUGCAUCGGAAACUGGAUAACUUGAGUGCAGAAGAGGGUAGUGGAACUCCAUGUGUAGCGGUGGAAUGCGUAGAUAUAUGGAAGAACACCAGUGGCGAAGGCGGCUACCUGGUCUGCAACUGACGCUGAGACUCGAAAGCAUGGGUAGCGAACAGGAUUAGAUACCCUGGUAGUCCAUGCCGUAAACGAUGAGUGCUAGGUGUUGGAGGGUUUCCGCCCUUCAGUGCCGGAGCUAACGCAUUAAGCACUCCGCCUGGGGAGUACGACCGCAAGGUUGAAACUCAAAGGAAUUGACGGGGGCCCGCACAAGCGGUGGAGCAUGUGGUUUAAUUCGAAGCUACGCGAGACCUUACCAGGUCUUGACAUCUUGCGCCACCCUAGAGAUAGGGCGUUUCUCGGGACGCAUGACAGGUGGUGCAUGUCGUCGUCAGCUCGUGUCGUGAGAUGUUGGGUUAG
RNAcentral lists this ribosomal RNA (1087 nucleotides) under Limosilactobacillus fermentum. RNAcentral describes it as "bacterial SSU rRNA". It matches the Rfam family "Bacterial small subunit ribosomal RNA", at positions 28 to 1083 of the family's 1533-position model. The record is from RNAcentral. Lineage: Bacteria; Bacillati; Bacillota; Bacilli; Lactobacillales; Lactobacillaceae.